This 643-nucleotide small RNA is filed under the name uncultured fungus. RNAcentral's name for it is "eukaryotic LSU rRNA". The stretch from base 216 to 370 matches the Rfam family "5.8S ribosomal RNA". The record is from RNAcentral. Lineage: Eukaryota; Fungi.
GGAAGGAUCAUUACCGAAUUGUCAACAUGAAGUUGUUGCUGGCCCUCAAAUGGGGGCAUGUGCACACUCUGUUUACACAUCCACUCACACCUGUGCACUCUCUGUAGUACUGUGGUCUGGGGGUUCUGUCCUCCUACUGUGGUUCUGCGUAUUUAUACACACACACUGUAAUAAAGUUUCAUGGAAUGUAUGCCGCGUUUAACGCAAUGAAAUACAACUUUCAGCAACGGAUCUCUUGGCUCUCGCAUCGAUGAAGAACGCAGCGAAAUGCGAUAAGUAAUGUGAAUUGCAGAAUUCAGUGAAUCAUCGAAUCUUUGAACGCACCUUGCGCCCUUUGGCUAUUCCGAAGGGCAUGCCUGUUUGAGUAUCAUGAACACCUCAACUCUCAUGGCUUGCCACGAUGAGCUUGGACUUGGGGGGUUUUGCUGGCCUACGGUCAGCUCCCCUCAAAUGCAUUAGCUUUCCAGCAUUUGGUGGCAUCACAGGUGUGAUAAACAUCUACACGUGUGGUUCCCCACCAUGUAACCUUCAGUGAUGGAGGUUCACUGGAGCUCACAAAUGUCUUUCCUCAGUGAAGACAGUUCUUUGAUUGUUUGAUCUCAAAUCAGGUAGGACUACCCGCUGAACUUAAGCAUAUCAAUAA